This 497-nucleotide ribosomal RNA is filed under the name uncultured bacterium. RNAcentral describes it as "partial 16S ribosomal RNA". It matches the Rfam family "Bacterial small subunit ribosomal RNA", at positions 28 to 507 of the family's 1533-position model. The record is from RNAcentral.
GAUGAACGCUGGCGGCGUGCCUAAUACAUGCAAGUCGAGCGAACAGACGAGGAGCUUGCUCCUCUGACGUUAGCGGCGGACGGGUGAGUAACACGUGGAUAACCUACCUAUAAGACUGGGAUAACUUCGGGAAACCGGAGCUAAUACCGGAUAAUAUAUUGAACCGCAUGGUUCAAUAGUGAAAGACGGUUUUGCUGUCACUUAUAGAUGGAUCCGCGCCGCAUUAGCUAGUUGGUAAGGUAACGGCUUACCAAGGCAACGAUGCGUAGCCGACCUGAGAGGGGGAGGGGCUGCAGUGGAAUUUAGACAGGGUCGGGAGAACGAAGGGAGGAACCAGGCGGGAUGAUUGCUCAAUGUGCUAAAACCGUACGCAGCUAUGACUCGGGAGGAAUAAAGGUGUUAGGAUCGGAACACGUCGUGACGAGGCAAAAACAAAUGGGCACGGAAAUAUACACGCCGGGACGGGAACGAAGCAGCAAGGGACCGCGCUCCUGGUG